This 297-nucleotide ribosomal RNA is filed under the name uncultured bacterium. RNAcentral describes it as "partial 16S ribosomal RNA". It matches the Rfam family "Bacterial small subunit ribosomal RNA", at positions 165 to 464 of the family's 1533-position model. The record is from RNAcentral.
AAUACCGCAUAAUGUCGCAAGACCAAAGUGGGGGACCUUCGGGCCUCAUGCCAUCAGAUGUGCCCAGAUGGGAUUAGCUAGUAGGUGGGGUAACGGCUCACCUAGGCGACGAUCCCUAGCUGGUCUGAGAGGAUGACCAGCCACACUGGAACUGAGACACGGUCCAGACUCCUACGGGAGGCAGCAGUGGGGAAUAUUGCACAAUGGGCGCAAGCCUGAUGCAGCCAUGCCGCGUGUGUGAAGAAGGCCUUCGGGUUGUAAAGCACUUUCAGCGGGGAGGAAGGCGGUGAGGUUAAU